This 433-nucleotide ribosomal RNA is filed under the name uncultured bacterium. RNAcentral's name for it is "partial 16S ribosomal RNA". It matches the Rfam family "Bacterial small subunit ribosomal RNA", at positions 28 to 507 of the family's 1533-position model. The record is from RNAcentral.
AGCGAACGCUGGCGGCAGGCUUAACACAUGCAAGUCGAGCGGGCCCUUCGGGGUCAGCGGCGGACGGGUGAGUAACGCGUGGGAACGUGCCUUCUGGUCUGGAAUAACCCUGGGAAACUAGGGCUAAUACAGGAUACGCCCUUUUGGGGAAAGGUUUACUGCCGGAAGAUCGGCCCGCGUCUGAUUAGCUGGUUGGUGGGGUAACGGCCUACCAAGGCGACGUUGAGUAGCUGGUCGGAGAGGAUGAUAAGCCACAAUGGGGCUGAGACCCGGCCCAGCCCCGGACGGGGGGGAGCAGUAGGGAAUAUUGGGCACUGGGCGCUAGCGUGAUAAAGCCAUGCGGCGUGAGUGAUGCAGGCCUUAGGGUUGUAAAUCCCUUUUAUCCGAGACGAUAAUGACGGUACCGGAGGAAUAAGCCCCGGCUAACUUCGUG